This 879-nucleotide ribosomal RNA is filed under the name Triticum aestivum (bread wheat). Its description in RNAcentral is "partial small subunit ribosomal RNA". Lineage: Eukaryota; Viridiplantae; Streptophyta; Magnoliopsida; Poales; Poaceae. The record is from RNAcentral.
AUGGGAAUUAAGAAAGGAGGGGGAAGGGGAAUUAAGAGGGCCAAUUCCCUUAGAUCUCUUCCCCAGGGACCCCUGGAAGAAAAACGUUUCUUCAUGAGGAAUCUUUGGUUAGCUGAGCACAGAAAACACACUGCCGGCAGUGAAGGGGAGCAGGCUGCCCCUGGCCACGUUGAUCGGGCGCGAGCUCCGCGCCGGGGUCUGCUCUACGGCCACGCCGGUUUCGCAAAGCGCGGGGAGGACUACUUCCUCGUGAAGCCCGACUGCCCCCGCGUCCCCGGCGACCCCUCCACCGCACCGCCUUCUCCGUCUUCGCCGUACGUACUGCUCCCCUCUCUCCGCCCCGUCCUUCGUGUCUGGUUCGUCGUGUUCGACGGGCACAACAGGGUGUUGGCGGCGGUGUCCAGCAAGGAGCAUCUGCUGGAACACGUGAUGAGCGCGGUCCCUCCGGACAUGCAACCGCUGGCUCGCGCGCUCAUCGUCGGCUUUGUCAAGGCCGACAGGCCAACAUCGACUUCCCCUACUGAAACUUGCUGGUGGACGACGGCUAGGCUGGUGGUCAGAGCUGCUAACCGUGGACCACAGGCUGGAGGACAAUGUCAAGCAGAGGGAGCAUGUCAUGGCGAUCGGCCGUCUGAAUCUCUUCUCUUCGGCAGGCAGGUCCAUUUUUGGCCAGGUGGUUUGUGCCUCUCAAGAUCCAUUGUGCUGAUUCCACAUGUUAAGCAAGUUAAGCGAAAAAGAUUGCUUGCUUCGAGGACAACAAUGGUUCUGGUUCUCUCACAGAGACCAGCUGAGAGGAGCUGCAGUUCACAGAGAUCAGACGACCAUUUUAUUCUUGUAGCUUUCAGCUUCAGUCCUACACACUUCCAGCUGAUUAUGUAG